This 397-nucleotide ribosomal RNA is filed under the name uncultured bacterium. RNAcentral's name for it is "bacterial SSU rRNA". It matches the Rfam family "Bacterial small subunit ribosomal RNA", at positions 29 to 428 of the family's 1533-position model. The record is from RNAcentral.
AUUGAACGCUGGCGGCAUGCCUUACACAUGCAAGUCGAACGGUAACGCGGGGCAACCUGGCGACGAGUGGCGAACGGGUGAGUAAUGCAUCAGAACGUGCCCAGUAGUGGGGGAUAGCCCGGCGAAAGCCGGAUUAAUACCGCAUACGACCUACGGGUGAAAGCGGGGGACUCGCAAGAGCCUCGCGCUAUUGGAGCGGCCGAUGUCAGAUUAGGUAGUUGGUGGGGUAAAAAGCCUACCAAGCCGACGAUCUGUAGCUGGUCUGAGAGGACGACCAGCCACACUGGGACUGAGACACGGCCCAGACUCCUACGGGAGGCAGCAGUGGGGAAUUUUGGACAAUGGGCGCAAGCCUGAUCCAGCCAUGCCGCGUGCGGGAAGAAGGCCUCGGUUGUAA